UGCCAUCAUUAAGUUGGGCACUCUAAGUUGACUGCCGGUGACAAACCGGAGGAAGGUGGGGAUGACGUCAAAUCAUCAUGCCCCUUAUGAUUUGGGCUACACACGUGCUACAAUGGACAAUACAAAGGGCAGCGAAACCGCGAGGUCAAGCAAAUCCCAUAAAGUUGUUCUCAGUUCGGAUUGUAGUCUGCAACUCGACUACAUGAAGCUGGAAUCGCUAGUAAUCGUAGAUCAGCAUGCUACGGUGAAUACGUUCCCGGGUCUUGUACACACCGCCCGUC
Molecule: ribosomal RNA, 281 nt
Filed under: Staphylococcus aureus
Lineage: Bacteria; Bacillati; Bacillota; Bacilli; Caryophanales; Staphylococcaceae
Description: partial 16S ribosomal RNA
Rfam family: Bacterial small subunit ribosomal RNA
Source: RNAcentral